ACAAUCUUACUUCCAUUAUCAAAAGUUUCUUGUACACUAUGCACAGUAGCAUCGGUCAAAAAGCAUAGACCAAAUAUCAAAGUUGGAGAGGCUGUAAGGAAACAGAAAAGGGCAAGUUACACAUUUGACAGGCUGGCCAAAAUAAUUGCAUCGGCUAGCAAAUAUACAAGUAAUUUUUCCAAUAUACCAAAAAUAUAUUGGGAAUAUACAAAAAAGAUACAUUUUGUCGGCUAUUAUUUUUUAGAACGGCUACGUUAUAUAGUUUUCCCAAUUGAGAAAACCAGAGAAUCCCUCGAGUGAUGAUGAAAUAGAAGUUGUAAUUAACAGGACAUUAGAUCUUGAUUUGGCCCUUUGAGCCCCUUCUGUUGUAUCUAAUCAUUGUAAGUUCAGCUCCAUCACAUUGUUAAUUACCUCAUGAUUUAGCAGUUAAUUAAUCAAGCAAAGAUUUAUCUUCUCUGUGUUAUAAUCAUUUAAUUGUAUUUAGUGGUUCUAUCUUGCUAUAAUCGUUAAUUUCGUCUUGUUUAUGAGAUAAGAAGGAAACUACUUGAGCAAGUACUUAUUUUGGUCAAUAGGAUUUAAGUAUCAUCCUAACCUUGCUGUUCAUUUCAUAUCUCUCGAUUACACAUUUUUAUGCCUUUUUGUUCAAACUUUUGGAAAAUGAGUGCUUACUUUUCAAACAAAAAAAAAA
Molecule: long non-coding RNA, 688 nt
Filed under: Nicotiana tabacum (common tobacco)
Lineage: Eukaryota; Viridiplantae; Streptophyta; Magnoliopsida; Solanales; Solanaceae
Description: long non-coding RNA (NTAB_LNC015733)
Source: RNAcentral